This 1360-nucleotide ribosomal RNA is filed under the name metagenome. RNAcentral's name for it is "bacterial LSU rRNA". It matches the Rfam family "Bacterial large subunit ribosomal RNA", at positions 1537 to 2925 of the family's 2925-position model. The record is from RNAcentral.
AAAAAUCUGUGUGGCAAUACGAAGACGUGACGCGGACCGAAAUAAAGUAGGGAAGCAUGUGAGCCAUGUGCCAAGAAAAGCCGCUAUAGAUCAUACCGUACCCGUACCGUAAACCGACACAGGUAGAUGAGGAGAGAAUCCUAAGGCCGACGGGAGAAGCAUUGUUAAGGAACUCGGCAAAAUGACCCCGUAACUUCGGGAGAAGGGGUGCCCACGCGAGUGGGCCGCAGAGAAUAGGCUCAAGCAACUGUUUAGCAAAAACACAGGUCUAUGCGAAACCGAAAGGUGAGGUAUAUGGGCUGACGCCUGCCCGGUGCUGGAAGGUUAAGAGGAGGAGUCAGGCAACGAAGCUCCGAAUUUAAGCCCCAGUAAACGGCGGCCGUAACAAUAACGGUCCUAAGGUAGCGAAAUUCCUUGUCGGGUAAGUUCCGACCCGCACGAAAGGCGUAAUGAUUUGAGCACUGUCUCGACAAUGCACCCGGUGAAAUUGAAGUACCAGUGAAGAUGCUGGUUACCUGCGCCAGGACGGAAAGACCCCAUGGAGCUUUACUCCAGUUUGAUACUGGGAUUCGAUACUGAAUGUACAGGAUAGGUGGGAGGCUGAGAAGCGUGGACGCCAGUCUGCGGUGAGCCGCUGUUGGGAUACCACCCUUUGAGUAUUGGAUUUCUAACCUGCGCCCGUGACCCGGGCGGGGGACAAUGUCUGACGGGGAGUUUGACUGGGGCGGUCGCCUCCGAAAGGGUAUCGGAGGCGCUCAAAGGUUCCCUCAGAAUGGUUGGAAACCAUUCGCAGAGUGCAAAGGCAGAAGGGAGCUUGACUGUGACACCGACGGGUGGAGCAGGUACGAAAGUAGGACUUAGUGAUCCGGUGGUAUGAAAGUGGGAUUGCCAUCGCUCAACGGAUAAAAGCUACCCUGGGGAUAACAGGCUUAUCACUCCCAAGAGUUUACAUCGACGGAGUGGUUUGGCACCUCGAUGUCGGCUCAUCGCAUCCUGGGGCUGUAGCAGGUCCCAAGGGUUGGGCUGUUCGCCCAUUAAAGCGGUACGCGAGCUGGGUUCAGAACGUCGUGAGACUGUUCGGUCCCUAUCCGGCGCAGGCGUAGGAUAUUUGAGAGGAGCUGUCCUUAGUACGAGAGGACCGGGAUGGACAGACCGCUGGUGUAUCUGUUGGUGACCAACACCAUGGCAGAGUAGCCAAGUCUGGCAGGGAUAAACGCUGAAGGCAUCUAAGCGUGAAGCCCCCCUCAAGAUGAGAUAUCCCAAUAAGUAAGACCCCUUAGAGAGUAUGAGGUAGAUAGGCUUAAGGUGUAAGCAUAGUAAUAUGUUCAGCUGAUAAGUACUAAUAGGUCGAGGGCUUACC